RNAcentral lists this RNase P RNA (395 nucleotides) under Micromonosporaceae bacterium. RNAcentral's name for it is "RNase P RNA component class A". It matches the Rfam family "Bacterial RNase P class A". Rfam says of the family: Ribonuclease P (RNase P) is a ubiquitous endoribonuclease, found in archaea, bacteria and eukarya as well as chloroplasts and mitochondria. Its best characterised activity is the generation of mature 5'-ends of tRNAs by cleaving the 5'-leader elements of precursor-tRNAs. Lineage: Bacteria; Bacillati; Actinomycetota; Actinomycetes; Micromonosporales; Micromonosporaceae. The record is from RNAcentral.
CGAGUCGACCGGGCGGCCGCGUCGGGGCCAUAGACCCCGCCGAGGAACGUCCGGACUCCGAAGGGCAGGGCGGUUGUUAACGGCAACCCGGGGUGACCCGCGGGACAGUGCCACAGAAAACAGACCGCUUCGCCUCUGGCGAAGUAAGGGUGAAACGGUGAGGUAAGAGCUCACCAGCACGACGGGUGACCGUCGUGGCUAGGUAAACCCCGCCCGGAGCAAGGCCAAGAAGGGUCCUCCCCGAAAGGGGAGAGCCCGCGUGAGCGUUCGAGGGCUGCCCGCCCGAGCUCACGGGUAGGCCGCACGAGCCUGCCGGCGACGGCAGGCCGAGAUGGAUGGCCGCCACCAGCACCCCGGUGCUGGGACAGAAUCCGGCGUACGCGUCGACUCGUCCG